This 343-nucleotide unclassified non-coding RNA is filed under the name soil metagenome. Its description in RNAcentral is "partial contains 5.8S ribosomal RNA, internal transcribed spacer 2, and large subunit ribosomal RNA". The stretch from base 1 to 120 matches the Rfam family "5.8S ribosomal RNA", at positions 35 to 154 of the family's 154-position model. The record is from RNAcentral.
GAUGAAGAACGUAGCGAAAUGCGAUAAGUAAUGUGAAUUGCAGAAUUCAGUGAAUCAUCGAAUCUUUGAACGCACAUUGCGCCCGCCAGUAUUCUGGCGGGCAUGCCUGUUCGAGCGUCAUUUCCACCAUCAGGCCCCCGGGCCUGUGUUGGGGACCUGCGGCUGCCCGCAGGCCCCGAAAUUCAGUGGCGGUCGCGCCGUAGCAACCGAGCGUAGUAACUAAAACGUCUCGCUCUGGCUCGCUGGGCGCGCUCCGGCCGUAAAACACCCCCCCUUUUCGCAAAGGUUGACCUCGGAUCAGGUAGGAAUACCCGCUGAACUUAAGCAUAUCAAUAAGCGAGGA